Molecule: long non-coding RNA, 4454 nt
Organism: Pseudopipra pipra
Lineage: Eukaryota; Metazoa; Chordata; Aves; Passeriformes; Pipridae
Exons: 8
Source: RefSeq, a predicted model, not a curated record
GGUGCCUGUAAACAAUGGUGCCCCCCCUGCGCCGCGCUCCCUUACCGAUUCCUCCUCCUUCUCCAUCCCUGUGGGCAUCUGCGGCACGGCCCGGUUGAUGGAGACGCAGUCGUUGAGAAUCACACAAUAUUUAGGUUUGGAAGGGACCUCUGGAGAUCAUCCAGUUUAACCAGAGGCACCCAGAGCAGGUGACACAGGAAAGCAUCCAGCAAAUGCAACUACUGUUCUUGACAAACACAUGAUUUACAAAAUGAGGAAUAAAGAAUUAUGCCAGCUAGAGAGAGAGAGAAGGAAGAUGAAACAAGCACAGUAAUACACAGGAGGCAAAAAGAAAGAGCAAGAACAUUACGUUCAUCAGCCACGGACCCAAAUUAGCUUGGGAAAGAGAUGUGGAAAUUGGAUUAACUCCUAUGAAAACAUCAGGGAAUUAUUAGUGCCCAAAGGACUCACCUGCAGCGUGGACCUGGAUGUGGAUGUGGCUGGAAAAGCCUGUUCCCCAUCCCACUCUGUACCUGGUUUAGCUCCAUUCCCAGCCGGGCCCAACCCACGGCUCAGCUGGAUCAUUCCCUCAUCGGGAUCCAUUCCUGCCUGGAAUUCUGAAACACCAGUGACAGUGGUUCUCCUGGACUUGUGUCAACCUGUGCCAGUGCUUUCCUGGGAUUUGGACACAGGAAUAGGUGAGGAUGCUCUUCCUUCUCCACCCCGCUUCGUCCCGUGAACUGCUUACACCAAACCAGGAAAACUCGGCAAGAGAGGAGAAAAAAAUCGGUCUGGACUGAAAGCAAACUACUCCUGCCCCCCCAGCAGUGCCGCCAUCCACCGAGGGAAGGGAGGGCCAUGGAAACACCGGGAAGUACAACACCUAAACGCUCCCAGGAGCUUGGACACAGCUCUGGGAUGGGGUGGGAGGCAGCGGGGGCUCGGGGAGCCACGGACACGCCCGAGGGACACCGGCGAGCGGAGCGACGUGGGACGGAAAAACGGGAGCCACCGCACCCCAAAAGAGCGGGAAUGGGAACCCAGCGGAGCAGGGCCAUGGAGCUGCCCCACGGAGCCGUGGGGUCCCAGCCGGGCCGGAGGGGACGAGCCCGGAGGAGCCCAGAGUCCAACCUACAGCAUCCUACUGGAAAAGCUACGGAAACCAAAAGCAACCGAUGGCUGCGGCCUUGGAAUUCUCCAUCAGAGCUGCGAUCCCACAUCCCAUGAGGAAUCUGCACUCUCCUGCAGGGACCUGAGUGGAGCACAGCACUUCCAGGCAAGGUUCAUUCCAAACAGACAGGAUCCAUGAACACUCAGUGGCGUGAAGGGGAUGUCAUAAUUAAGUUUCAACACUUUUAGGUAUUUUCACACCAGGUUUUGACACAGCCAGAAAUUUGACCGAACACACAAUGGCAGCGAAAGCCUUUUUUGGGUGACACCACUUUUCCAUGCACAACUGAUUUAGUAAAGCCCAAACCUAACCUCUCUGAAGGCAACUGGCACAAGUUUCUUACGGGAAACCACGGGGAAAUUCAGUCCUAUGAGCUACAGGUAAGGAAAAAAACCAAACCAUGCUGCUAAAAUAGGAGACAAAGACCAAAAUGACGACGCUUUGGUGGGCACGUGGAGAGAGAGAGAGAUGUGCAUAGAUAUAUAAAUAUACCUUCCCCUCCUCAGCGUUCUGUUGACAUGAAUUGUGAACUUCUUCCUCCCUCACCAGUUUCCCAGGCCAUGAAGUGAGUCCUUUGAUCUGGCCCCAGACCAAGUCGCCCACGUUGAACGUCCUUGGCCUGUAGUGGAGGAGCUCGUGGGAGGAAGGCGAGUCGGGGUUCCUCAGGUCCUCCUCGCUGCUGAUGCUUUUAGCAUCCGAGGGGCUGGGCACACACCCAUUAAUGCUUUUGGCAUUAAAAUCUCCAUUGUAAUGGAUGUAGUCUUUCACCAAGGAGCUCUCCAAGCUAUUGGAGGAGCUCGGGGAUUGCUCUUCCAGACCCAGGUCUUGUUUGGAAGCGCUCAGCAGGUCCCCGAAGGCCCUGCCCUGCUGCGGCCUGUUCCCGUUGAUGUGUGCACAGCGUUCCACAGUGUUCUCCAGUCUGUCCUUGAAGCUCAGCAUAGUUCUUUUGUAAUUGUUAUACCUGAAAUUCUCCUCCAGCGCCUUCUCGCUCUGGCAGUUCCUCUGCGGCAGCAGGGCCUGGUGCUGCUCCCCCGGCAGCAGGGGCAGGGCCGAGGCGUUGUUGGGCCUCUCGUGGCAGGGGCUGCCGUGCAGGUGGGAGUGCUCCAGGAACUCCUCGCACUUCCACCUGUUUAGCUCACCCACCGGGCUCUGCUCCCCUUCCCACUGUUUUUUGGGGGUGUUACAGCUGGCCGCCUUGUAAUACUCGUAGCCCUCGCCCUCCCCGGGGUUCUUGCCGUGCUCGGCGCCCUUGGGGCCGCGCGCGCCGCGGGCGCCCCUGGCCCUGCCCUCGUGCUCGGGCACGGCCACGCCGCGGCCGUGGAUGACGGCGCUGACGGCGCUGGAGAGGUUCAGGGGGUCCCCGAUGGAGGCUGUGAAGGCACUCAUGGCACUCAGGGCGGGGAUGGGGCUCAUCUGGGUGGUGCUGCUCACGGCCGUGGUGAUCACCACCUGCAUCCCCUUGCUGGCCGCGUCCACCACCGCCUUGUAGAUGGCGUCCACCGACGGGUCCCCCGGGCCGCCCACGGGCAGGGAAUCCUUGGGCUGCUGCCCCAGGGGGGGCUCGGCCCGGGGCUGCAGCUCACAGGAGGGUUCUGGGAAGGGAGGGAGCAUCGCGUUGGAGCUGUCGGGAACCGGCGCCAUUCCCAUCUGGGUGAUCAUCCGCUUGUUCAGGACCGCGGCGUCCUCCUGCAUCCUCACCUGGGGAAGGACAGGAGAAGAUGGGAGUUCAUAUUCUGGAUUAAUGUUUCAUGGAAUUGCAGAGGUGUUGGGGUUGGGAGGGGCCUCUGGAGAUCACCCAGUCCAACCCCCCUGCCAAAGCAGGGUCACCUGGAGCAGGUGACACAGGAACUUGUCUGGGUGGGUUUGGAAUGUCCCCAGAGAGGGAGACUCCACAACUAUUUCAACAGACAAACUUGGUCUCAUUUUAAUUAAACCCCGAGGUGGUGGCCAGGGUGACUGUUCCUCACAGGACACCAUUUUGAUUAAAUUCCAGUUAUGAAGUUAAAUGCAGAACAAGGUAGAGAGAAAACAAAAAACCCUAAUUUAGAGGAAAUCAGACCCACUGGCUCUCAGACUUUGCCUCGUGGAUCAAACUGGACAUCUUGACAUGAUCCAGCCCCCCAUGCACUGCUGAGACUUCACCAUCAUCCCUUUCAGAGCCUUUCAGGAAUUUCCUCGUCUGAUUGAAGCUCAGCUCUUUCCUUUUCUUCUCUCAAGUCCUAAACAACUCCACCAAGGUCAGUACUUUUGUUACAGAAUCCCAGGAUGGUCUGGCUUGGAAGAACCUUAAAGCCCAUCCAGUGCCACCCCUGCCAUGGGCAGGGACACCUUCCACCAGCCCAGGUUGCUCCAACCUGGCCUUGGACACUUCCAGGGAUCCAGGGACAGCCACAUCUUCUCUGGGCAACCUGGGCCAGGGCCUCCCCACCCUUACAGCCAAGGAUUUUUUUCCUAAUAUCCCAUCUAAAUCCCACAACCUUCUCUUCUCCAGGCUCCUCCAGCUGAGAUGAUCCAGUCCAAGCUCCAGCUACAGGAGGUUGCACAGGAUCACAUCCAGGGUAAAAGCACUGCCUGGCUCUAUCUCCAUGUCCCAUCCUCACAUCUGGAAUUCUGCAGCAACCACAGCAACCCCGAGUAACAAUAAAUCCGUAUUUCCCUCCGGGUUUAUUCCCUACUUUUGCCAUGUCAGUGUGUUGGUUGGAUAUUCAAGUUGCACUGUGAAGAACUGGCUAUUUAGGUGAGAGCAGCAAAGGAUCAUUUUUGCACAGUUUGUCACUGUACAUUCACUUUAAUCCCUGUUUUCUUCAGGCUGCAGAAUCCAGCAGCUCUUCCAUGCAGUUGCAGUGGGAAUACAAGAGGACUGGCACACACAGUCACCUACAAUAACUCAUUAAGCUUCUAAUUAUUGUGAAGUGGUUCCAGCAUUUAUUUCUCACUGUUGCAUUAUCAGAAUGGGCUGAAUGGGAAUUUAUGAUCCUUUCUGCACAAUGGAAAAGAGUUUUGCUAAAAAUUCAUAGUAUUGUCAGCACGUAAAUAGCAUAUUUUUUUCAAUACAUGCAGCAUAACUCCUUCCAAAGAAACUGGACCCAAUUCCUGCAGAGAAAGGUAUAAAAUUUCCAUAAAAAUGUCACUGAUUUGCAAAACCCAGAGUGAAAGAGCAAAAUGUAGACAGUGCAUAUAUAUAAUUUAUAUGGAUCAUAUUGCCUUAAUCAGCAAAGAAACCCAGACCCUGGGGGAUGUAAUUUUACCUCCUGAGAGCUGCACAUUUGUUGGAAUAUUGCUUCCCUCUUGCUUCCUACCUGGA